GGAGCAGUAGUUCAGUGGUCAGAAUGUCGGCCUGUCAUGUCGAUGGUCGCGGGUUCAAGUCCCGUCUGCUCCG
RNAcentral lists this transfer RNA (73 nucleotides) under Candidatus Tremblaya phenacola PAVE. Its description in RNAcentral is "tRNA-Asp (GTC) (tRNA-Asp-GTC-1-1)". It matches the Rfam family "tRNA". Rfam says of the family: Transfer RNA (tRNA) molecules are approximately 80 nucleotides in length. Their secondary structure includes four short double-helical elements and three loops (D, anti-codon, and T loops). Lineage: Bacteria; Pseudomonadati; Pseudomonadota; Betaproteobacteria. The record is from RNAcentral.